This 491-nucleotide ribosomal RNA is filed under the name uncultured bacterium. RNAcentral describes it as "bacterial SSU rRNA". It matches the Rfam family "Bacterial small subunit ribosomal RNA", at positions 903 to 1397 of the family's 1533-position model. The record is from RNAcentral.
AAAUGAAUAGACGGGGGCCCGCACAAGCAGUGGAGUAUGUGGUUUAAUUCGAAGCAACGCGAAGAACCUUACCAGGGUUUGACAUCCCUUGAAUAUGUCAGAAAUGACAUAGUCCUUCGGGACAAGGAGACAGGUGGUGCAUGGUUGUCGUCAGCUCGUGUCGUGAGAUGUUGGGUUAAGUCCCGCAACGAGCGCAACCCUUGCUAUUAGUUGCCAGCGUGAAAGACGGGCACUCUAAUGGGACUGCCGGCGAUAAGUCGGAGGAAGGUGGGGACGACGUCAAAUCAUCAUGCCCCUUAUAUUCUGGGCUACACACGUACUACAAUGACUGCAACAGAGGGAAGCGAAGCCGCAAGGUGGAGCCAAUCCCGAAAAACAGUCCCAGUUCGGAUUGUGGGCUGCAACUCGCCCGCAUGAAGUCGGAAUUGCUAGUAAUGGCAGGUCAGCAUACUGCCGUGAAUACGUUCCCGGGCCUUGUACACACCGCCCGU